CCUACGGGAGGCAGCAGUAGGGAAUAUUGCUCAAUGGGGGAAACCCUGAAGCAGCAACGCCGCGUGGAGGAUGAAGGUUUUCGGAUUGUAAACUCCUUUUGUUAGAGAAGAUAAUGACGGUAUCUAACGAAUAAGCACCGGCUAACUCCGUGCCAGCAGCCGCGGUAAUACGGAGGGUGCAAGCGUUACUCGGAAUCACUGGGCGUAAAGAGCGCGUAGGCGGGAUAGCAAGUCAGAUGUGAAAUCCUAUGGCUUAACCAUAGAACUGCAUUUGAAACUGUUAUUCUAGAGUAUGGGAGAGGUAGGUGGAAUGCGUGGUGUAGGGGUAAAAUCCGUAGAGAUCAAGAAGAAUACUCAUUGCGAAGGCGACCUGCUGGAGCAUAACUGACGCUGAUGCGCGAAAGCGUGGGGAGCAAACAGGAUUAGAUACCCUUGUAGUC
This 440-nucleotide ribosomal RNA is filed under the name uncultured bacterium. Its description in RNAcentral is "partial 16S ribosomal RNA". It matches the Rfam family "Bacterial small subunit ribosomal RNA", at positions 338 to 795 of the family's 1533-position model. The record is from RNAcentral.